GACGAACGCUGGCGGCGUGCUUAACACAUGCAAGUCGAACGGAAAGGCCUUUUCGGAGGUACUCGAGUGGCGAACGGGUGAGUAACACGUGGGUGAUCUGCCCUGCACUCUGGGACAAGCCUGGGAAACUGGGUCUAAUACCGGAUAGGACCGCACUUUAGUGUGUGUGGUGGAAAGUUUUUUCGGUGUAGGAUGAGCCCGCGGCCUAUCAGCUUGUUGGUGGGGUAAUGGCCUACCAAGGCGGCGACGGGUAGCCGGACUGAGAGGUUGGUCGGCCACAUUGGGACUGAGAUACGGCCCAGACUCCUACGGGAGGCAGCAGUGGGGAAUAUUGCACAAUGGGCGCAAGCCUGAUGCAGCGACGCCGCGUGGGGGAUGACGGCCUUCGGGUUGUAAACUCCUUUCGCCAGGGACGAAGCGUUUUGUGACGGUACCUGGAGAAGAAGCACCGGCUAACUACGUG
RNAcentral lists this ribosomal RNA (463 nucleotides) under uncultured bacterium. Its description in RNAcentral is "partial 16S ribosomal RNA". It matches the Rfam family "Bacterial small subunit ribosomal RNA", at positions 28 to 507 of the family's 1533-position model. The record is from RNAcentral.